UGCACGGUGGUGCAGUUGGUAGCACUGUGGCACCAAGAAGGUCCUGGGUUCGAUUCCCGGCCGGGGGUCU
This is a non-coding RNA of Ataeniobius toweri, 70 nucleotides long. The record is from the annotation of a GenBank genome assembly. NCBI's taxonomy places the organism in Eukaryota, Metazoa, Chordata, Actinopteri, Cyprinodontiformes, Goodeidae.